Molecule: unclassified non-coding RNA, 345 nt
Filed under: soil metagenome
Description: partial contains 5.8S ribosomal RNA, internal transcribed spacer 2, and large subunit ribosomal RNA
Rfam family: 5.8S ribosomal RNA (bases 1-119)
Source: RNAcentral
GAUGAAGAACGUAGCGAAAUGCGAUACGUAAUGUGAAUUGCAAAUUCAGUGAAUCAUCGAGUCUUUGAACGCACAUUGCGCCCCCUGGUAUUCCGGGGGGCAUGCCUGUCCGAGCGUCAUUGCUGCCCUCAAGCACGGCUUGUGUGUUGGGCCCCGUCCUCCGAUCCCGGGGGACGGGCCCGAAAGGCAGCGGCGGCACCGCGUCCGGUCCUCGAGCGUAUGGGGCUUUGUCACCCGCUCUGUAGGCCCGGCCGGCGCUUGCCGAUCAACCCAAAUUUUUAUCCAGGUUGACCUCGGAUCAGGUAGGGAUACCCGCUGAACUUAAGCAUAUCAAUAACCGGAGGA